GAUGAACGCUAGCGGCAGGCCUAACACAUGCAAGUCGAGGGAGAAGCCCUUUCGGGGGCAGAAACCGGCGCACGGGUGCGUAACGCGUAUGCAACCUACCCUUCACAGGGGGAUAGCCCGAAGAAAUUUGGAUUAAUACCCCAUAAUAUUAUUGGAUGGCAUCAUUUGAUAAUUAAAACUGCGGUGGUGAAAGAUGGGCAUGCGUCCUAUUAGCUAGUUGGAGUGGUAACGGCACCCCAAGGCUACGAUAGGUAGGGGUCCUGAGAGGGAGAUCCCCCACACUGGUACUGAGACAGGGACCAGACUCCUACGGGAGGCAGCAGUGAGGAAUAUUGGUCAAUGGUCGGAAGACUAAACCAGCCAUGCCGCGUGCAGGAAGAAUGCCUUAUGGGUUGUAAACUGCUUUUAUAUGGGAAGAAUAAGGCGUACGUGUACGUGAUGACGGUACCCAUAGAUAG
Molecule: ribosomal RNA, 458 nt
Filed under: Capnocytophaga gingivalis
Lineage: Bacteria; Pseudomonadati; Bacteroidota; Flavobacteriia; Flavobacteriales; Flavobacteriaceae
Description: bacterial SSU rRNA
Rfam family: Bacterial small subunit ribosomal RNA
Source: RNAcentral